Myotis brandtii (Brandt's bat) is the source of this 1911-nucleotide long non-coding RNA. RefSeq lists it as uncharacterized. The transcript is spliced from 3 exons. Lineage: Eukaryota; Metazoa; Chordata; Mammalia; Chiroptera; Vespertilionidae. The record is from RefSeq and is a predicted model, not a curated record.
GUAAGGGUCUGAGUUGCCAUGAGGGUAGUGGCCAAUAGCAACAAUCGUUUAUAAAGAUGCGAUGGAACUUCCAGGUGUUUUGCUGUUCCGUUUCGGUAAAUACCUACUGAGCACCUCCACUUCUUUGUCAACACCUGUCAUUGUCCGUUUUGUUUUUGUUAUAGUGGCCCUCUCAAUGGGUGCGAGGUGGCUCAUAACUCUUGUUUUAAAAAAAUAAUGUAUUUUCCAAUUACACUUGACAUACAAUAUCACAUUAGUUUCAGGUGUGCACUGCAGCGAUGAGACACUUAGACACCUUACAAAGCAAUCAUUCCACCAUCGUAACUCUCUUCUAACUCUGGCCCAAGCAAGGGGCCCUGACCAAGGACAAGCUUCGGAGACAGGUUUUCCAAACAGCACCCCGGGCGGUGGGCCGAGUAUUGACAGAAGCACAGGCCCUAUACCCAGGCCUUGAUUCACUUGCUCAUCAGAAUUACCCAAAUAUUAGUGCUUUCCUAGCAGGUGAGAAAACAGACUCAGAACAGCGAAGCGGCCCGCCCAAGGGCACACAGCCGGAAACUGGUGUUGGAACUGGGCCCCGCAGCACCUAGGAUUGCCAUGCACAUACCUGUCUACAUCUACAUUGUGCUCCCGGAGUCCAAGAUCCUUCCUGGAAGACUUUGUCCUGGGCCCUGGAGCUGCGGGCCCUUUGGGCAGCAGCCAGCACUUCGGGGAGCAGCAGGAGGAGGUGCACCUGGGAGGCGGGGGAGGGGCGUCCUGCAAGCUCUUUGCAUCCACUUCAAUGGGACCCAACGGAACCAGAGCAGGGACAUGCGGAGCGCCUCGGUGCUGCCUGAGCCAGCCCUGAAUACUAACCAGGGAGCUUCAAUCGAGCUAAAAAUAACUGGCUAAUCACCACCAGGAAGAAUUAGCGAGGACUCGGAAGAAAGGAAAAUGUCUUAAUUCUUCAUCUCUCAGCAGCUGGGCUCCAGCUGGGGCCGGUCUCCGCCUGGCUGCCACGGGGCAGGUAAUUGGCAGGCCGAAAGCCCCAGCACUUGGGGGUGCUGGCGGGGGCGCCCCAGCCCGCAGGAGGGUAAAAGGGACAGGGUUACGUGGGGCGAGGCGAGUUGGAAAACAGGGAACGCAGGAGAAAUGCGAUGCGACAGGAGGCAGGCUGUGGAGAACAAGGCAGUUGUCACAGUUCACACCCCUUCUCCUCUGAGAAAGUCAAAUCCUUAAUUAAAGGGAAACGUCGUUUUAUUCUGCUCUGCAAACCUCAGGCAGUGUUCCCUUCCCCAGCGCGGGAGUGGGCUCUGAGGGCACCGCUGGAGUCCAUGGGAACCAUGAUGAGAUGAAAUAAACCAAACACGGACGGAGCCGAGCAUGGGAAUCAAACCGUCAGGCGCGCAACCAGAGUGAUUCCUUCAGCCAGCCCGAAAGUGAGAAUCAAACCAACACUCUGUUUAGUCUUCAAAUCACGUGACAAAGGCCAAAGAGGGCAUGACCGACCUCCUGCGGGGACACGCAGCAAACCCAGCCUGGACCCCAGAAUCCUGGAGCGGCAGGUGCAGGAGGGGGACGAUUUCGAUGCCCUGGGUGAUGGGGGGCCUGUAGGUUUGGGAGGAAGAGUGUAUCUCACUGAAAAUGGUAUUUGCGUUAACAGUGUACUAGUAUAUCCAAUCACCAAGAAAUAAUCACUUAUAAGAAUUGAUGCCAUUUAUUCAGAAGAUAAUAAUGAAUUCAAUGAGUCUAGGACCUCAGUGAAAUCUUAAAGAGGGACCUAAAGCUACUUGGACAAAGAACAAUGGAUUCUACGAGAGACAGUAUCUUGAAGAGCGCAUGGGGGUUAACUUCUAUACCCUACUUAGAAUCCCAUAAUUUGAGAACUAGAGGGUAUCUUCAAACAUCAAAGAAAGAUAUAGCAGAACGAAC